RNAcentral lists this transfer RNA (72 nucleotides) under Ictidomys tridecemlineatus (thirteen-lined ground squirrel). RNAcentral's name for it is "Spermophilus tridecemlineatus (thirteen-lined ground squirrel) tRNA". It matches the Rfam family "tRNA". Rfam says of the family: Transfer RNA (tRNA) molecules are approximately 80 nucleotides in length. The record is from Rfam by way of RNAcentral. Lineage: Eukaryota; Metazoa; Chordata; Mammalia; Rodentia; Sciuridae.
UGGGUUGUGGCUAAGUGGUAGAGUUCUCACCUGGCACGUGUGAGGCACUGGGUUCGAUCCUCAGCACCAUAU